CCUACGGGUGGCAGCAGUGGGGAAUAUUGGGCAAUGGGCGCAAGCCUGACCCAGCAAUGCCGCGUGAAGGAAGAAGGCUUUCGGGUUGGAAACUUCUUUUACAGGGGAAGAGCAGAAGACGGUACCCUGAAAACAGGCCACGGCUAACUACGUGCCAGCAGCCGCGGUAAUACGGAGGUGGCAAGCGUUGUCCGGAUUUACUGGGUGUAAAGGGCGUGUAGCCGGGAAGGCAAGUCAGAUGUGAAAUCUGGAGGCUCAACCUCCAAAUUGCAUUUGAAACUGUUUUUCUUGAGUACUGGAGAGGCAGACGGAAUUCCUUGUGUAGCGGUGAAAUGCGUAGAUAUAAGGAGGAACACCAGUGGCGAAGGCGGUCUGCUGGACAGCAACUGACGGUGAGGCGCGAAAGCGUGGGGAGCAAACAGGAUUAGAUACCCCAGUAGUC
This 442-nucleotide ribosomal RNA is filed under the name uncultured bacterium. RNAcentral's name for it is "partial 16S ribosomal RNA". It matches the Rfam family "Bacterial small subunit ribosomal RNA", at positions 338 to 795 of the family's 1533-position model. The record is from RNAcentral.